UGCAGUUAAUAAAACACAUCCAUGAAUUUCACUUAUAGAGAUGACCCAGACUUUUAUUAUUUACUAAGCUUUCUCUGCAACUAUCAGUCUGAGUAAAUGAUCUGGACAAAGUCCUUAAAGGAAGACCUAAACGGAUCUUUGCCACACCUCAAAAAUGUUCCACAGGACAGACUUGUCCCACAGGACUUAGACACCAAAGAAUGAAAUGCAAAUGAAAAUGCAUCUGUUCUUCAGUUCUGUACAUUCUUGUGUUAAUAUCUUGGCCAUUGUUGCUAACCAGGGAUAUAUUGGUUUUAAUAUGGCUGUAGUUCUUAAAGAAAACCUUCCCAUGGGGCACACUGGUCACAUUUGUAAACUGCACUUGUCUACUGGGCGAGUAUGAGAAUUACUUUGGAGAGAUGACCAGAAGAUGAAAGAAGAAAGCAAAACAGUUAGGAAUGCAGGAGGAAAUUUCCUAAAUAAAGAACUGAGGCCAUCAGAACAUAAAAGGUCAGAAAGAAAAUGUGAGAUUUUACUAAUAUUCUGGCCGCAACUGUGGGUUAGGCACCGAAGCUUCCACGGGGGCUUGACCUCCUAGUUUCAUCAUAAGGUCAUGACCAACUUAUCAACCAUACCUGCUGAGAUGCAUAUUCUCUUCCAUUCUGUAAAAUAAUAAAUAAAUCAACUUAAUGAAUCCAAUAAAGACUUUAAAGA
This is a long non-coding RNA of Polypterus senegalus (gray bichir), 693 nucleotides long. RefSeq lists it as uncharacterized. The record is from RefSeq and is a predicted model, not a curated record. The transcript has 3 exons. NCBI's taxonomy places the organism in Eukaryota, Metazoa, Chordata, Cladistia, Polypteriformes, Polypteridae.